GGCACGUUGAUUGCGUAGCACCACGUGUGGGUGCAACGGCGCACUCGCCACAACACGAACACGAUGC
RNAcentral lists this non-coding RNA (67 nucleotides) under Xanthomonas campestris pv. raphani 756C. Lineage: Bacteria; Pseudomonadati; Pseudomonadota; Gammaproteobacteria; Lysobacterales; Lysobacteraceae. The record is from RNAcentral.